GUGUGACUCGUCACACUAUCAUUAACUGAAUCCAUAGGUUAAUGAGGCGAACCGGGGGAACUGAAACAUCUAAGUACCCCGAGGAAAAGAAAUCAACCGAGAUUCCCCCAGUAGCGGCGAGCGAACGGGGAGGAGCCCAGAGCCUGAAUCAGCAUGUGUGUUAGUGGAAGCGUCUGGAAAGGCGCGCGAUACAGGGUGACAGCCCCGUACACAAAAGCGCAUGUGCUGUGAGCUCGAUGA
RNAcentral lists this ribosomal RNA (240 nucleotides) under Salmonella enterica subsp. enterica serovar Livingstone. Its description in RNAcentral is "partial 23S ribosomal RNA". It matches the Rfam family "Bacterial large subunit ribosomal RNA", at positions 131 to 411 of the family's 2925-position model. Lineage: Bacteria; Pseudomonadati; Pseudomonadota; Gammaproteobacteria; Enterobacterales; Enterobacteriaceae. The record is from RNAcentral.